GAAAGAAUAGACUAAAUUUAAGUCAUUAGAUUCAUAAUUUAAAAAUAAAUUUUAAUAAUUUUUCUUUUA
This 69-nucleotide transfer RNA is filed under the name Merostenus sp. RNAcentral describes it as "tRNA-Met". The record is from RNAcentral. Lineage: Eukaryota; Metazoa; Arthropoda; Insecta; Hymenoptera; Eupelmidae.